GACAGCAUGGUGUAGUGGUUUAAGCAUUAGAGUAUGACUCUGGAGACCAGGGUUCAAUUCCCAGCUUGGCCA
RNAcentral lists this transfer RNA (72 nucleotides) under Phrynosoma platyrhinos (Desert horned lizard). RNAcentral describes it as "tRNA-OTHER". Lineage: Eukaryota; Metazoa; Chordata; Lepidosauria; Squamata; Phrynosomatidae. The record is from RNAcentral.